GUUCUAUAACAAACACGUAUAAAGAGACUGUUCUAUAACAAACACCUAUAAAGAGACGGUUCUAUAACAAACACCUAUAAAGAGACGGUUCUAUAACAAACACGUAUAAAGAGACGGUUCUAUAACAAACACGUAUAAAGAGACGGUUCUAUAACAAACACGUAUAAAGAGAAGGUUCUAUAACAAACACGUAUAAAGAGAAGGUUCUAUAACAAACAUGAACAAAGAGACGGUUCUAUAACAAACAUGAACAAAGAGAAGGUUCUAUAACAAACACGUAUAAAGAGAAGGUUCUAUAACAAACAUGAACAAAGAGAAGGUUCUAUAACAAACACGUAUAAAGAGAAGGUUCUAUAACAAACACGAACAAAGAGAAGGUUCUAUAACAAACAUGAACAAAGAGAAGGUUCUAUAACAAACACGUAUAAAGAAAAGGUUCUAUAACAAACAUGAACAAAGAGACGGUUCUAUAACAAACACGUAUAAAGAGACGGUUCUAUAACAAACACCUAUAAAGAGACGGUUCUAUAACAAACACCUAUAAAGAGACGGUUCUAUAACAAACACGUAUAAAGAGAC
This is a long non-coding RNA of Gasterosteus aculeatus aculeatus (three-spined stickleback), 579 nucleotides long. The record is from Ensembl. NCBI's taxonomy places the organism in Eukaryota, Metazoa, Chordata, Actinopteri, Perciformes, Gasterosteidae.